AACUUUCAACAAUGGAUCUCUUGGCUCUGGCAUCGAUGAAGAACGCAGCGAAAUGCGAUAAGUAGUGUGAAUUGCAGAAUUCAGUGAAUCAUCGAAUCUUUGAACGCACAUUGCGCCCCUUGGUAUUCCAUGGGGCAUGCCUGUUCGAGCGUCAUCU
Molecule: ribosomal RNA, 157 nt
Filed under: Paraconiothyrium fuckelii
Lineage: Eukaryota; Fungi; Ascomycota; Dothideomycetes; Pleosporales; Didymosphaeriaceae
Also listed under: 14 other names
Description: 5.8S ribosomal RNA
Rfam family: 5.8S ribosomal RNA
About the family: 5.8S ribosomal RNA (5.8S rRNA) is a component of the large subunit of the eukaryotic ribosome. It is transcribed by RNA polymerase I as part of the 45S precursor that also contains 18S and 28S rRNA.
Source: RNAcentral